AAAAAAUAAAUUGCCCCGGUAGACCAUCGGUUAAUGUGUAAUAAUGUAUGGAAGAAUGUGCCAUGUCUGAAAACGGCUCCGGCUGUAGGUUCUUUAUUCUCUGCAAUGUUGAGGUGUUAUAUUGAGUGGAACGCACAGACAGGAAAUGACAUACAGGACAGACAGGAAGUGAUAUCCAAGAAAGGCAGGAAGUGAUGUCGGAUACAGAAAGGAAGUGAUGUAACAUACAGACAGGAAGUUCCGGGUCAGAGGUGAGUUGGGAGGACGUAGAGAGGAGACAUUUCUGGAACUCGAAGCAGAGACGACUUCUAAAGCAGUAAAGAAAAGAUCUGGUGAGCCGUAACACCCAGCCACUGUCUUCACAGGACAUCACCCAUCACAGUGCCUCCACCUCACUGCCUGACAACAGAGGUAACCAGUGCCAAGAAGAUUCUAGAAUUCACCCAGAAGAUCACUGAGCUGCUGACAGGAGAGGUUCCUAUAAGGAGUCUAUUUCUCCAUGGAGGAGUGUG
Rana temporaria (common frog) is the source of this 512-nucleotide long non-coding RNA. RefSeq lists it as uncharacterized. The record is from RefSeq and is a predicted model, not a curated record. NCBI's taxonomy places the organism in Eukaryota, Metazoa, Chordata, Amphibia, Anura, Ranidae. The transcript is spliced from 3 exons.